AGGUUGUGACGAUUCUCUCCGUCUCUUCUCUCAGUCUGGGGUAGGAGCCAAGCUGUGGACCAACACACAAUGCUGCAGUCUUGUGCGAUCACUCUCUUAGGAACCCGAAGGAGGAAACGGAUGAAGUCAACAUCUCCAGCUGAAACGGAGGAAGUCAACAUCUCCAGCUGAAACGGAUGAAGUCAACAUCUCCAGCUGAAACGGAUGAAGUCAACAUCUCCAGCUGAAACGGAGGAAGUCAACAUCUCCAGCUGAAACGGAUGAAGUCAACAUCUCCAGCUGAAACGGAUGAAGUCAACAUCUCCAGCUGAAACGGAUGAAGUCAACAUCUCCAGCUGAAACGGAGGAAGUCAACAUCUCCAGCUGAAACGGAUGAAGUCAACAUCUCCAGCUGAAACGGAGGAAGUCAACAUCUCCAGCUGAAACGGAGGAAGUCAACAUCUCCAGCUGAAACGGAUGAAGUCAACAUCUCCAGCUGAAACGGAGGAAUUCAAAAGCACCAGCUGAAAAGUCAUUAUCAGUUGUCCGACGAGAGAUGGAAAUGAGAGUCCAUAGUGUAAUUACAGAUCAGAGGACAUUAGUCUCGGAGGUGUCAACAAAACAAUCAACCGUGAAAGUGAAUCAUGUUUUAUUUUCUGCUCAUUUAUAAGUCAUUUCACAGUUUACGUGAUGUUGAACAGUAGGGAAAUACUAUUGAAAAAGGAGGAACUGUCGGGUUGUAGUUUUAAAUACUGGCUAUACUGGUUAAUGGUUACGGUCACUGAUAAGGUUGGAUCGCUGUGGAUUAGGGAGGAAUGUGGGCCGAGGUCAGGUCAGAUGUGGAUUAGGGAGGAAUGUGGGCCGAGGUCAGGUCAGAUGUGGAUUAGGGAGGAAUGUGGGCCGAGGUCAGGUCAGAUGUGG
Molecule: long non-coding RNA, 900 nt
Organism: Oncorhynchus tshawytscha (Chinook salmon)
Lineage: Eukaryota; Metazoa; Chordata; Actinopteri; Salmoniformes; Salmonidae
Exons: 3
Source: RefSeq, a predicted model, not a curated record